Molecule: ribosomal RNA, 303 nt
Filed under: Escherichia coli
Lineage: Bacteria; Pseudomonadati; Pseudomonadota; Gammaproteobacteria; Enterobacterales; Enterobacteriaceae
Description: partial 23S ribosomal RNA
Rfam family: Bacterial large subunit ribosomal RNA
Source: RNAcentral
CCUGGCAGUCAGAGGCGAUGAAGGACGUGCUAAUCUGCGAUAAGCGUCGGUAAGGUGAUAUGAACCGUUAUAACCGGCGAUUUCCGAAUGGGGAAACCCAGUGUGAUUCGUCACACUAUCAUUAACUGAAUCCAUAGGUUAAUGAGGCGAACCGGGGGAACUGAAACAUCUAAGUACCCCGAGGAAAAGAAAUCAACCGAGAUUCCCCCAGUAGCGGCGAGCGAACGGGGAGCAGCCCAGAGCCUGAAUCAGUGUGUGUGUUAGUGGAAGCGUCUGGAAAGGCGCGCGAUACAGGGUGACAGC